RNAcentral lists this ribosomal RNA (432 nucleotides) under uncultured bacterium. RNAcentral's name for it is "partial 16S ribosomal RNA". It matches the Rfam family "Bacterial small subunit ribosomal RNA", at positions 29 to 507 of the family's 1533-position model. The record is from RNAcentral.
ACGAACGCUGGCGGCAUGCCUAACCCCUGCAAGUCGAACGAGACCUUCGGGUCUAGUGGCGCACGGGUGCGUAACGCGUGGGAACCUGCCCUUAGGUUCGGGAUAACUCCCCGAAAGGGGUGCUAAUACCGGAUAAUGUCUUCGGACCAAAGAUUUAUCGCCUUUGGAUGGGCCCGCGUUGGAUUAGCUAGUUGGUAGGGUAAAAGCCUACCAAGGCGACGAUCCAUAGCUGGUCUGAGAGGAUGAUCAGCCACACUGGGACUGAGACACGGCCCAGACUCCUACGGGAGGCAGCAGUGGGGAAUAUUGGACAAUGGGCGAAAGCCUGAUCCAGCAAUGCCGCGUGAGUGAUGAAGGCCUUAGGGUUGUAAAGCUCUUUUACCCGGGAUGAUAAUGACAGUACCGGGAGAAUAAGCUCCGGCUAACUCCGUG